RNAcentral lists this transfer RNA (71 nucleotides) under Tegula argyrostoma. RNAcentral describes it as "Chlorostoma argyrostomum tRNA-Thr". Lineage: Eukaryota; Metazoa; Mollusca; Gastropoda; Trochida; Tegulidae. The record is from RNAcentral.
GCAACAGAAGCAGAAAUUAUUAUGCAUCGGCCUUGUAAGUCGAGGGAUAAAGGUAUUCAGUCCUUUUUGUU